This 504-nucleotide ribosomal RNA is filed under the name uncultured bacterium. RNAcentral's name for it is "partial 16S ribosomal RNA". It matches the Rfam family "Bacterial small subunit ribosomal RNA", at positions 32 to 523 of the family's 1533-position model. The record is from RNAcentral.
AACGCUGGCGGCGCGCUUAACACAUGCAAGUCGAACGAGAACCGGGACUUCGGUCCCGGGGACAGCGGCGAACGGGUGAGUAACACGUGGGUAAUCUGCCCUCGGUUCUGGGAUAGCCCGGGGAAACCCGGAUUAAUACCGGAUAGCCUUUCGUGCUUUCGGGCGUGAAAGAAAAGGUAGCUUCGGCUUCUGACCGCGGCUGCGCCCGCGGCGGAUUAGCUUGUUGGGGGGGUAACGGCCUACCAAGGCGACGAUCCGUAGCUGGUCUGGGAGGACGAUCAGCCACACUGGGACUGAGACACGGCCCAGACUCCUACGGGAGGCAGCAGUGGGGAAUCUUGCGCAAUGGGCGAAAGCCUGACGCAGCGACGCCGCGUGGGGGAAGAAGGCCUUCGGGUUGUAAACCUCUUUCAGGUGGGACGAAGCCACUCGGGUGAAUAGCCUAGAGGGUGACGGUACCUCCAGAAGAAGCCCCGGCUAACUACGUGUCAGCAGCCGCAGUAA